AUCGUUCAUCUUUUUUGCAAGUAUAAGAAAAGACAGAAGUAAGAAACUAUUUCAACAUCCUGAAAGAACGCACC
This 74-nucleotide non-coding RNA is filed under the name Stanieria cyanosphaera. RNAcentral's name for it is "Glutamine-I sequence". It matches the Rfam family "Glutamine riboswitch aptamer (glnA leader)". The record is from RNAcentral. Lineage: Bacteria; Bacillati; Cyanobacteriota; Cyanophyceae; Pleurocapsales; Dermocarpellaceae. RNAcentral also lists the same sequence under 1 other name.